GUAGUCCACGCCGUAAACGAUGGAUACUUGGUGUUAGAGGUAUUGACCCCUCUAGUGCCGAAGCUAACGCGUUAAGUAUCCCGCCUGGGAAGUACGGUCGCAAGAUUAAAACUCAAAGAAAUUGACGGGGGCCCGCACAAGCGGUGGAGCAUGUGGUUCAAUUCGAUGCAACGCGAAGAACCUUACCUAGGUUUGACAUGUACUGGAAGACUACCAGAAAUGGUGUCGCCUUCGGGCCGGUACACAGGUGCUGCAUGGCUGUCGUCAGCUCGUGUCGUGAGAUGUUGGGUUAAGUCCCGCAACGAGCGCAACCCUUGCCAUUAGUUGCCAGCAUUAAGUUGGGCACUCUAGUGGGACUGCCGACGUUAAGUCGGA
This 375-nucleotide ribosomal RNA is filed under the name uncultured bacterium. RNAcentral's name for it is "bacterial SSU rRNA". It matches the Rfam family "Bacterial small subunit ribosomal RNA", at positions 790 to 1167 of the family's 1533-position model. The record is from RNAcentral.